This 469-nucleotide ribosomal RNA is filed under the name Micrococcineae bacterium CL1.1. Its description in RNAcentral is "bacterial SSU rRNA". It matches the Rfam family "Bacterial small subunit ribosomal RNA", at positions 17 to 497 of the family's 1533-position model. Lineage: Bacteria; Bacillati; Actinomycetota; Actinomycetes; Micrococcales. The record is from RNAcentral.
CCCUGGCUCAGGAUGAACGCUGGCGGCGUGCUUAACACAUGCAAGUCGAACGAUGACCCGGUGCUUGCACCGGUGAUUAGUGGCGAACGGGUGAGUAACACGUGAGUAACCUGCCCUUAACUCUGGGAUAAGCCUGGGAAACUGGGUCUAAUACCGGAUAUGACUCCUCAUCGCAUGGUGGGGGGUGGAAAGCUUUAUUGUGGUUUUGGAUGGACUCGCGGCCUAUCAGCUUGUUGGUGAGGUAAUGGCUCACCAAGGCGACGACGGGUAGCCGGCCUGAGAGGGUGACCGGCCACACUGGGACUGAGACACGGCCCAGACUCCUACGGGAGGCAGCAGUGGGGAAUAUUGCACAAUGGGCGCAAGCCUGAUGCAGCGACGCCGCGUGAGGGAUGACGGCCUUCGGGUUGUAAACCUCUUUCAGUAGGGAAGAAGCGAAAGUGACGGUACCUGCAGAAGAAGCGCCGGC